RNAcentral lists this long non-coding RNA (1379 nucleotides) under Capra hircus (goat). Its description in RNAcentral is "lncRNA (ENSCHIG00010028349.1)". Lineage: Eukaryota; Metazoa; Chordata; Mammalia; Artiodactyla; Bovidae. The record is from RNAcentral.
GGUUGCCAUUUCCUUCUCCAAUGUAUGAAAGUGAAACGUGAAAGGGAAGUCACUAGGGGUGGAUAAUUUUUUAAUGUUCUUUUAAAUUACUUACCUAUUCUAGUUUCACAAUCCCCUAUUCUGAUUUUAUUGUUAUCUUUUAUUGUUUUUGAAGAUCUUAGACAGAUUCAUUUCAAAGUUCUUUUCAGAUUCUUCUUGUAUCUCUGUCGCCUCAGAGUAUAAAUCUCUCCUUUUUGACUACCUCUCAUUGUACUAAAUGUGUUUCUUACCCUUUCCCGGAAAGCACGCUUUGCAUGGGGAUUUCCUCCCACGUGUCCCUUGUCUGUGAGGUAGUUUCUUAUCUGCCUUAGCCUUGGUCUCAUGAGUUAACCAGACUCAACCCAGCUCAGAGCUCCCCAGUUCCGGAGUGACAGCUCUCCACAGUUCACGUGGCACAGGACAGAGGGGACUGGCCCUGAGCAAGCCGUGUGUUUCUACUACAAUUCUCCAUGCCCAGGUGGAGCUCUAUCACCCGCUGUUCUCGGUGGCAAGCCCAGCUCAGAUUCCUAUUGCAGAGCCUUCAGGUCUGCAUGAUCCAAUUUGCUACUCUGAUGGUUCCUCUUGGGAUGACCAAGCUUUGGAGGAUUAAUCCAGUCUCUCAGGAGGCGUACCAGCAGAUUGAUUUCAGAACAUCGGCUUCAAGAAGGACAGACUUUCUGGGGUGUUGCUUUCCCCCUGAUAAAGUAUGUUUAUAAUACUAAAGCAAGAUGCUAUUUAAAUAUCUUUCCUCACUUUCAGAUUCUUUCUCUGGGCCCCCCUGCCUUCUUCAACAGGCUGAAACAAGACCUUGGCAAAAUUUAUUCUGCAAAAUUUUAAUUAUUAUUCUAGCUCUUGAACCCUGGUAGCCCCUGGAACUCUGUUCUUAGAAUUUCAGAACAGUUUCAGGAAAGGAAAUCUCUUUCCCCAAACCUCCUUUCCCACUUCAGUUGUAUUUUUUCCAGGGACCACCCUUUGCAGACAUGAUCUCCUGAACUCAGAUGUCCACAGCAACUGCCACACAGUCUCUGGGGCCACCUGUAGGGGGAAUAUGAUUCUGCUGCCCUCUGCUGACCACAGUGGGCUUGUUCUGCCUGUUAANNNNNNNNNNNNNNNNNNNNUCACCACAAAAACAGCAGUUCUUAUCUGCCAAAUUCUCCUUCCUCAGCAGUCCUUAACAGAUACCAAGACCUCUUGUUAUUAAGGAGCAUGGCAGGAAGCCAUGUUGCAGCUUCCAGGUAAAGUUUAUCUCACAUGCUCGGUGAGUGAUUCUGGCUCCCAUUAUAAAGGAUAAUGGGUUAUUUCUGGGAAGGACCCUGAAAUAUGACCAGAAAAUGUCUGAGCUCAUCAACUCUGCCCUGCCU